Molecule: ribosomal RNA, 493 nt
Filed under: uncultured bacterium
Lineage: Bacteria
Description: bacterial SSU rRNA
Rfam family: Bacterial small subunit ribosomal RNA
Source: RNAcentral
AUUGAACGCUGGCGGUAUGCUUAAGACAUGCAAGUCGAACGGUAACAGGUUAAGCUGACGAGUGGCGGACGAGUGAGUAACGCGUGGGAAUCUACCUUGUAGUGGGGGAUAAGCCAGGGAAACUUGGACUAAUACCGCAUACGCCCUAAGGGGGAAAGGAGCAAUUCGCUAUAAGAUGAGCCCGCGUCUGAUUAGGUAGUUGGUGGGGUAAAGGCCUACCAAGCCGACGAUCAGUAGCUGGUCUGAGAGGAUGAUCAGCCACGUCGGGACUGAGACACGGCCCGGACUCCUACGGGAGGCAGCAGUCGGGAAUAUUGCGCAAUGGGGGAAACCCUGACGCAGCGACGCCGCGUGAGCGAAGAAGGCCUUAGGGUUGUAAAGCUCUGUUGUAAGGGAAGAAAGGCAACCGGAGUAACAUGCUGGUUGUAUGACGGUACCUUACGAGGAAGCCCCGGCUAACUACGUGCCAGCAGCCGCGGUAAGAGUACUCUAU